This 155-nucleotide ribosomal RNA is filed under the name uncultured bacterium. Its description in RNAcentral is "partial 16S ribosomal RNA". It matches the Rfam family "Bacterial small subunit ribosomal RNA", at positions 355 to 507 of the family's 1533-position model. The record is from RNAcentral.
UAGGGAAUAUUGGACAAUGGGGGCAACCCUGAUCCAGCCAUGCCGCGUGCAUGAAGAAGGCCCUAUGGGUCGUAAACUGCUUUUGUACGGGAAGAAACCUUACCAUGCGUGGUAAGUUGACGGUACCGUGAGAAUAAGGAUCGGCUAACUUCGUG